GCUCUACUGGCGCAAUGGUAGCGCGCAGGACUUCUAAUUUCUCAUUUAUCCUGAGGCUGCGGGUUCGAGUCCCGCGUGGAGUA
This is a non-coding RNA of Clavulina sp. PMI_390, 83 nucleotides long. Lineage: Eukaryota; Fungi; Basidiomycota; Agaricomycetes; Cantharellales; Hydnaceae. The record is from the annotation of a GenBank genome assembly.